Canis lupus familiaris (dog) is the source of this 1605-nucleotide long non-coding RNA. RefSeq lists it as uncharacterized. The transcript is spliced from 5 exons. The record is from RefSeq and is a predicted model, not a curated record. Lineage: Eukaryota; Metazoa; Chordata; Mammalia; Carnivora; Canidae.
CGCAGGAGGGAGGAGCAGCUCCAGGCAGGGCGCUGACCCAGGACCCGACCCCAGGUCCCCGGGUCCCCAGGAGCCCGCCCUGCGCCGCAGGCAGCACUAGGCCGCUGAGCCGCCCGGGCUGCCCCGGAGUUUACUUUCCAAAUACAAGAAUGAAGCUGCAGUAUCGAGGGGAUACAGGCGAGGCUCACGGGGUCCUGGGCCGGGCUAGCAUCGCCUUGGCCCCGAGCGCAGCGGGACCUCGGGGCAGCCGCGUCCCUGCGCGCGUCUGCAGGUCGUGCCCUGUCCCCUGCGGGUCCCGCCCCCUCCUCAGCGUCGGUUGUAUGUAGUGGCUCCGAGGUAUUUCUGAAAUAGCAAACCUGGUGUACCACAAUCCAGCUGCGUGUUCUCUUACAUUUCAUGGAUUCAUCAGUCCUCCCGGGCGAUCCAGCCUUGAAGGGGAAACCAAGCCUCCAUAAGAGUCACACAAAAGACCGCAUUUUCUUCAGGAAUGGAGACUGAGAAAACCCAGAUGCCCAAUGACACGCAACUAAUUUUAUUUAUUUGACACAGAGAGAGAGAGAGAACAGCAGGGAGAAUGGCAGACAUAAGAAGGAGAAGUGAGCUCCCUGUUCAGCAAGGAACCCAGUGUGGGCCUCCAUUCCAGGGCCCUCGGAUCAUGCCCUGAGCGGAAGGCAGACGCUUACGACUGAGCCACCAAGGCGCCCCUGUAAGAACUCUUCUUAAGAUAUAAAUUUUAAUUCUUUGUCUAUCACACGUUAUAGUAACAACAACAAUAUUUAACGGUGUGGCAUUUGUCAUCUAAAUUUAUUUUGACAUAACAUAGUUUUGAACUUUCACUGAAUCAAUUUCUCAGUAUUUUUUCUAUGUUUUUGGUUAUAUUUAGAAAGACCCACCCACUGGUUGUUGAAGACUUUAAUAAGUUUUUCAUUCAGUUAAUGUCACUACAGAACAAAGAACAAUGAAGUCUUGGAAAGCAGCACAUUGUCUUAAUAUGAAAUGAUACCAACGUUGUUUCCAUUUAUAGAUGAUCUCUACAUGCUCUGAUCUAUUAAUAAAUAAGUAAGAUUUGUGCAGUGACUUAUAAUUUAAAGACUUCUUUCACUUAUAUAAUUUGGGCCUCACAAUAAAUCAUGUACUUAGAAAAAUAACUGCCUAAAGUCAGCAAGCAUUCUUUUCCAAGUAAAUUCUGCCUAAUUUUGAAUCUUUCUUGUUGUUAAGGGAUCUGAAGAUCAGCAACCACAGUAAAAAAAAAAAAAAAAAAAAAAAAACAUCAUGAACAAACCAGUUAGCAGACAUUUGCCAGGAAAUGGAUUGUUUGCAGAUUACUUGGCAUAGAUCCCCAUAAAGAAGCAAAUCUGUUCCCACCUCUUUACUCUACUUUUCCUGCCUGCUCUGUUCCAAAGAAGCAAAUGUUUAGAUAAAUUCGAAUCAUCCAAACUAGGAGUUUAUAUUAAUCUGAACAAGAUAAGUUAUAAAAACCAGGUGAUAUUCAAAUAUUACCCAUUUUUUCUAUAGUUGAUAUUUACAUUUAAAAAAAUAUCACCAAAGUUUUUUUUUUUUUUUUUUUUAGGGUUUUCUCUGUUUGGAAUUAAGUUACAAGUUUAA